CACCGCAUGCUCGCCUUGCUGGUCACCCUCAUCUUGGAGUACUGCAUCUUCACAUCUGUAGCCCUUCAUCUAAGUCUCAGGCAGCACUAGUGCUGUAGUUUCAGCCGAAUUCUUGGUAUUCGAGAAUUUAUGAAUGAGGCACUGAGCACACCAAAAGAGGUCAGAGAUUGGGGAUUCUACUGAUGGGCAGAUGCAGAACUGCAAGAAGCGAGUGGGCAGCAGGCUAUGUUCAUUCG
Molecule: microRNA precursor, 236 nt
Filed under: Physcomitrium patens
Lineage: Eukaryota; Viridiplantae; Streptophyta; Bryopsida; Funariales; Funariaceae
Description: Physcomitrella patens miR1063e stem-loop (ppt-MIR1063e)
Source: miRBase by way of RNAcentral